UUUUACUGUUUAAAAAUAUAGAAACAAUAACGUACAAUUCAUUAAGUUAAAUUCUAAGAUUUCAUCCAUAGUAUAUAUCAUCCCGUAUUAAUAUUAACUCAAAUCCGUCCCACCAUAUAAUCCGAAAUUAAACAUCAUUUUGUCAUU
Molecule: small RNA, 147 nt
Filed under: Arabidopsis thaliana (thale cress)
Lineage: Eukaryota; Viridiplantae; Streptophyta; Magnoliopsida; Brassicales; Brassicaceae
Description: ATSL282120
Source: RNAcentral